Molecule: ribosomal RNA, 252 nt
Filed under: uncultured bacterium
Lineage: Bacteria
Description: partial 16S ribosomal RNA
Rfam family: Bacterial small subunit ribosomal RNA
Source: RNAcentral
GACGGAGGGUGCAAGCGUUGCUCGGAAUUACUGGGCGUAAAGCGCGUGUAGGUGGCUUGGUGAGUCAGAUGUGAAAGCCCUGGGCUCAACCCAGGAACUGCACUGAAACUACCAGUCUUGAGUGGUGGAGAGGGAAGUGGAAUUCCUGGUGUAGAGGUGAAAUUCGUAGAUAUCAGGAGGAACACCAGUGGCGAAGGCAGCUUCCUGGACACUAACUGACGCUGAGACGCGAAAGCGUGGGGAGCAAACAGG